RNAcentral lists this unclassified non-coding RNA (788 nucleotides) under uncultured bacterium. Its description in RNAcentral is "partial contains 16S ribosomal RNA, 16S-23S ribosomal RNA intergenic spacer, and 23S ribosomal RNA". The stretch from base 656 to 788 matches the Rfam family "Bacterial large subunit ribosomal RNA", at positions 1 to 131 of the family's 2925-position model. The record is from RNAcentral.
GUAUCGCUUCGUGCGCGCUGAAAAGCGUCGCGCGACUUCUGCGUUUUCGGCCGGUCAUCAGAACCGGGCUUGUAGCUCAGUUGGUUAGAGCGCGCGCUUGAUAAGCGUGAGGUCGGAAGUUCAAAUCUUCCCAGGCCCACCACUUCUUUAAGCGUCCGGCAUCGCUGCAAGGCAGCGAGGGGCCAUAGCUCAGCUGGGAGAGCGCCUGCUUUGCAAGCAGGAGGUCGUCGGUUCGAUCCCGUCUGGCUCCACCAGCCGGGUGCUUUUUAGGAAGCAAACAUCUCGUCCAUGAGAACACUUAUUCGUCGCGUCGAAGCAUCGAUGACGGCGUGUUGUCUGACAUCGUGAAGAGGGGAUCGUACCGGGCGUGCGAGCAUGAGAAAUCGUGCGCGCCCGUACAUGUGUUGCCGCAACAGCUUGCGGCAGCCGACAUCCUGUUGCGUCGCUGGUCGGUGUUGUUUCGCAAGAAACUUCACUUGGUGGCGUGACAUUCGUCAGUGGGCCUACCCGGCAUCACUGUCGGUCCGAUCCUGAGAAGCAAAGCUGGUCUUUCUGUCAUUGCCGUCCUCACACGAAUGAAGAUGGCGAUGAAGAAGACUGACCAAGAGAAGUGUCUAUCCCGCUGCCGAGUGGGAUGGGCAUUGAUGACAAGAGCGAUCAAGUGUCGAUAAGGGCAUUUGGUGGAUGCCUUGGCGCUGAGAGGCUAUGAAGGACGUGCUACGCUGCGAUAAGUCACGGGGAGCUGCGAAGAAGCUUUGAUCCGUGAAUUUCCGAAUGGGGAAACCCGG